This 334-nucleotide ribosomal RNA is filed under the name uncultured eukaryote. Its description in RNAcentral is "partial 18S ribosomal RNA". It matches the Rfam family "Eukaryotic small subunit ribosomal RNA", at positions 1470 to 1796 of the family's 1831-position model. The record is from RNAcentral.
CCCUUAGAUGUCCGGGGCCGCACGCGCGCUACACUGAAGGAAUCAGCGUGGCUUUCUCCCUGACCCGAAAGGGUUGGGAAACCCGUUGAAUCUCCUUCGUGAUAGGGAUUGGGGCUUGAAAUUGUUCCCCAUGAACGAGGAAUUCCCAGUAAGCGCGAGUCAUAAGCUCGCGUUGAUUACGUCCCUGCCCUUUGUACACACCGCCCGUCGCUACUACCGAUUGAACGGUUUAGUGAGGGCCUCGGAUUGGUCUCGGCCCGCUCUUUACCGGGCGGCGCCGUUGGUCGAGAAGACGCUCGAACUUGUUCGUUUAGAGGAAGUAAAAGUCGUAACA